RNAcentral lists this non-coding RNA (59 nucleotides) under Cavia porcellus (domestic guinea pig). RNAcentral describes it as "microRNA cpo-mir-181b precursor (cpo-mir-181b-2)". Its record names the gene cpo-mir-181b-2. It matches the Rfam family "mir-181 microRNA precursor family", at positions 12 to 72 of the family's 83-position model. Rfam says of the family: In this case the mature sequence comes from the 5' arm of the precursor. The extents of the hairpin precursors are not generally known and are estimated based on hairpin prediction. The products are thought to have regulatory roles through complementarity to mRNA. RNAcentral also lists the same sequence under 1 other name. The record is from miRBase by way of RNAcentral. Lineage: Eukaryota; Metazoa; Chordata; Mammalia; Rodentia; Caviidae.
AACAUUCAUUGCUGUCGGUGGGUUUGAAUCUGAAUUGACUCACUGAUCAAUGAAUGCAA